Molecule: long non-coding RNA, 188 nt
Filed under: Mus spicilegus (steppe mouse)
Lineage: Eukaryota; Metazoa; Chordata; Mammalia; Rodentia; Muridae
Description: lncRNA (ENSMSIG00000006256.1)
Source: RNAcentral
GCCAAGUUAAGAAAGAAAGAAUUAAGGAGCUGGAGACUGGUGGCUUGCUAAGAUGUUUACAGAUGGCAAGUGUGGUAGAAAUGAAAGUGAAGAGGGAAGGCAAGUUGAUACUAGCAAGUCCUCAUUCUUCCUGGCUUCUGGACUCAGCUGAGAAUUCUGGAUUCUUUCUUUCUCAUAUGUCAACCUGA